ACCUUCUGUUGAUCUGACUAUAGCUGAUCCGACUUCUUUGAGUCCUCGAUGUCUAAAGGUAUAUAAAAUUGUUCGCAAACUUGAUGAAAAUGUUGUGAUAAAGAUGGAGCGUGGUAUUGUGGGCGAUGUUGACUAUCCCUUACAACUUGACCCGUUGGAGAUUAUGUGUUUCUUAAGGAUGGAGACGUUAGAUGUUUCCAUAUUGCAGUUCUUUAUAAGAUGAACGGACAGGGUAUAUCAACGUCACCAUGCAAUAUGGCCAAAAACAAUGCUAUCUAGCGCCAUAUAUUUUAAAUGACCAUUGGAUGUUGAUGGCAAUUUGUCCUCAACUUAAUGAAAUCUAUUGGUUUGAUUCAAUUGGAGGCCAGCCACGUGAUGACAUCAAAGAUAUUGUUGAAAA
This is a long non-coding RNA of Ipomoea nil (Japanese morning glory), 400 nucleotides long. RefSeq lists it as uncharacterized. Lineage: Eukaryota; Viridiplantae; Streptophyta; Magnoliopsida; Solanales; Convolvulaceae. The transcript is spliced from 3 exons. The record is from RefSeq and is a predicted model, not a curated record.